UACGUAGGGGGCAAGCGUUGUCCGGAAUCAUUGGGCGUACAGCGCGUGUAGGCGGCCCGGUAAGUCCGCUGUGAAAGUCCAGGGCUCAACCCUGGGAUGCCGGUGGAUACUGUCGGGCUCGAGUCCGGAAGAGGAGUGUGGAAUUCCUGGUGUAGCGGUGAAAUGCGCAGAUAUCAGGAGGAACACCAAUGGCGAAGGCAGCACUCUGGGACGUGACUGACGCUGAGACGCGAAAGCGUGGGGAGCAAACAGG
RNAcentral lists this ribosomal RNA (253 nucleotides) under uncultured bacterium. RNAcentral's name for it is "partial 16S ribosomal RNA". It matches the Rfam family "Bacterial small subunit ribosomal RNA", at positions 524 to 776 of the family's 1533-position model. The record is from RNAcentral.